This 543-nucleotide ribosomal RNA is filed under the name Yarrowia divulgata. RNAcentral's name for it is "eukaryotic LSU rRNA". It matches the Rfam family "Eukaryotic large subunit ribosomal RNA", at positions 38 to 667 of the family's 3401-position model. Lineage: Eukaryota; Fungi; Ascomycota; Dipodascomycetes; Dipodascales. The record is from RNAcentral.
GCAUAUCAAUAAGCGGAGGAAAAGAAACCAACAGGGAUUGCCUCAGUAACGGCGAGUGAAGCGGCAAAAGCUCAAAUUUGAAACCCUCGGGAUUGUAAUUUGAAGAUUUGGCAUUGGAGAAAGCUAACCCAAGUUACUUGGAAUAGUACGUCAUAGAGGGUGACAACCCCGUCUGGCUAACCGUUCUCCAUGUAUUGCCUUAUCAAAGAGUCGAGUUGUUUGGGAAUGCAGCUCAAAGUGGGUGGUAAACUCCAUCUAAAGCUAAAUACUGGUGAGAGACCGAUAGCGAACAAGUACUGUGAAGGAAAGGUGAAAAGAACUUUGAAAAGAGAGUGAAAUAGUAUGUGAAAUUGUUGAUAGGGAAGGAAAUGAGUGGAGAGUGGUUUAGGUUUCAGCCUUCUUUCGAGGGGGUGUACUACCAACGCCGAGUCAUUGUCAGCGAGACAGGGGUUAUAAACGGGUUGCCUUCUGGCUUCUCACCUAACCCCUCCACUGCCGACAACGACAUAAUCCACCCAUUUCACCCGUCUUGAAACACGGACC